UUUAUUUUGAAAUCUUAGUGAUAUUUCUAAUACAGUGUUGUACAGAAUGAUGCUGGUGCAUUUAUACCUACAAAACAAAAGUUAUUGAUGAGAUAAUAUACCAAGUAUAUUGCUUUUCUAUUUGCAUGCCUUUGGCUCUCCAAAACCAAAUUUUUUACAAGGACAUGUAGUGGUAGAAAAAGGGAGAAUGGCUUUAAACUGAAGUUUGGUUUACAUUCAAUAUAAGGAAGAAAUUUUUUAGUGUGAUGGUGUUGAGUUGCUGGAAGAGAUUGCCCAGAGAAGUAAUGGUUGCCUCAUCCCUGGCAAAUCCCCACCACACAGGGUGGUUGAGUUGCAGUAUUGCAGUCUGUCCAUUAACAUCCUAACUCAGUUCAAAAUGUGCAGUCAGUCAUACAGGUUUGGGCUUCUUCUGUCUGCGAAGUGGCACUCUUAAAAUACCUUUUAAAAAAGUCACAGAGCAGUUGUUCCUACUAGAGAUGAAGAACAACACUCUUGCUCUCCAGCCAGCAGCUCAAACAUUUAAACACCCCCAUGCCUCUCAGUAGUCUGAGUGAUACUGGAUGAGGGAGCACUAUCAGGGACAGCAUUUCAUAAGAGAGGCCUGGCAGUGCAGACGGCUUUAUUUUAUGGGAUCAUGUGUCAGGAAGAGACAGCAAGAUGCUCCAACAUGAAGAAAGGAGGGAAUGUAAACUUCACCAAUGACUUGGAUUAGCCCAUCUUUCUCUGUGAGAAUAUAAACUUAUGAUGUGGUCUCACCUGAAGGUGUUAUUUUAUAAAAAUGAAUGCAGGGUAAUGCUUGCAAUUCUCUGAGCUGAUGUUUGAGUCUUUCCCAACAAUUACUGGCUGAGUCAUCACUUUUAAAGAGUAGCUGUUUGUAAACAGAUACAAAUAUAGUGUAGAAAUCACAAGAGAAGAUUAUUUCAUUAAAAAUAUCCUUCCCCCAAAAAGGCAAAUGAAAAUAAAGUGAAACUGGUAUGUGUUUUAGCAAGUGGAGAAUUUGGAGAAUUGAAGAAGAGCUGGCAGUCUGUACUGGAAACUUGAAGUUGCUGCUGUGGCUUAUGAUAAUUGGAAAGAAAAUACUAUCAGUAUAUGUGUAAGGAAUAGAUUAACCAUGGCAGGGGCACACAGUUUUUGCUCUAAAAAUAGAUGUUUAUAAAGUUGGGAAGGUAGAAAUAUUCCAUAAAGCUAUUCCAGCACAGAAUUGUUCUAAAAGAAAUAGCGUGAUCCAUUGUGGUGGUAAAAUAUAUUCUACUUAAUUGGUAGCAAGGCAGUGCGUUAAACAGCAACUGCUGACAGGAAACAUUUGGGUAGAGUGAAUAACUCGAAUCUAGAAAUAUUAAAUGAAUUACCUUAGGAGCAUUCUGAAUCUGUAAUGUGGGUUUUCGACAAUCAUUGUACAGCUGGGAAAAUUUCAAAAUCUUUGAGAGUUGCAGUGAGGGUUAAGGUCUCAGUAUUUAAGAGAAGGUAAGUAGAGGGAUUGAGAGCUAAGCCACUGAACGUAACUCCCUGUGCUGCAAGUGUUGCAAACCACUUAGGAAGUUGAGCUUGCUGGAGGGUUUAAAUGGGGAGGGGGAGAAAUAGGGUUGAACAUUGUUUUUAGUGUGUCUACAGAGGUGUAAGGAAGGAAUUUGACAGAAGUCCCUCUAGCGGAAAUCACAGUAUCUUGGAUGCAGCCAUCAAACAAGUCCAUCUCUCCACUGUUUCCUUUUGGGAAGGAAACAUGGACUGGGAAUCUCAGUUGAGAGGCUGCUGAUUCCUUAAGUAUUGUGACAAGAGGAAUCCUCAUCUCCCAGCACUACAGAGUGGCCAGAAUCUGCAGCCAAGUACAGGAAAUCCUGGUUUUCAGUAAAGAUUCAUUUCAUUGUCAUGUUCUACAGGUACAAUGGAUGUUUAUUCUUUUGGAUGAGAAAAGUUGCUGUUAGCCCCCUGACAGGAGGAGACUUCUUGUGGUACAAAGCUUGGGUCCUUGCUCCUGCACUUUUGUUUGACCAGGUGGAAGAGCGCUACCAGAGGCACGCACACGCAAGGAAGGGCAGCCAACAGCACACAAAUGGCCUGUAUCCAAGCUGGAUAAACUUUCUCCUCUUUCAUGGGGAAGCCUUCCUGUGGAGAUAAAAAAGCAAGCAAAAGAAAUAAUUCAUAGAUGUACACAACUCCAAUCACUUCAAAGAAAGCGAUGACUAGAAGAGGCACUGAAGCUGCAUAUCUGUCAAAAAUGUCAAUCCAGUAACUCCCUGAACCCAGUGUAAAACACAGAGCAAUGAGGAAGCUAAUUAGACAUAUUAUACCUGAAGAAAAAAAGAUAUCUUUGUUACUAGAGUACUGGAAAGGAAAGGAAAAAUCCAGUGCUCCUGUGUUUGAAGCACUGCUGUGGCUGCGGAGGCAGCGGAUGCUUGAGAAUGUGUCAGUGAGUGCUGCUUUUCCUCCUCUACACCCACCACUUCAUGGAGCUUUUUAGCCAUGAAGGCAGAGUUGUGAGGAGCCUUUAGUGGAUAGCAACCACUUAGUGGGACAGUUUGACUUUGCAUUUGGGAAUGCUGCCAAGGACAGUGUAGGAAAGGUGCUUCUGAAAUGGCCAGCAUGUGGAGGGAUCUGGAACUCCUGUCCAUGUGAGAAGUUCAACAUAUGAGAAGUUAAGAAAAAUGGGAGCAGGGCUGUUCUCCAGCAGUUAUUUUAGGAAGAGAUAUGGGGAAGGGGAGAAAUACUAUGAAGAAACAGGGGCAGGGGAAAAUUACUUUCAACCUUCCAAAAAAUCACUUUACAGUGUAAAUUCUCUUUGUGAAUUCUUAAAAGAUUAAAACUGUGUAAAUUCUGUAGCAGUGGCAGGGAAAUCCCAUCUUUCUCAUGUACUUGUGAAGUACAUCAGUUUCACUUACACAUUAAAGACUGAGUCACCUUAAACUGAGUCAUUCUUAAACUUAAUUUUCCAGUAUUUUCUUGUAGGCUUACUACUGAACUGUUAAAUUCUUUGCUGCUUAUUUUCUUGUAUAAAUAUAUUAAAAUAAUUAAGUCACUUCAUCUCAGAAAAAGACCUUAGCUGAGCUCUUGGAUAGACAUCUAAACCAGGAGUUAUUGGAAAAUAGUAUGAAAUCUGAGGAGGAGUAAAAGAAAAAUUAAUACUAAU
Passer montanus (Eurasian tree sparrow) is the source of this 3124-nucleotide long non-coding RNA. RefSeq lists it as uncharacterized. Lineage: Eukaryota; Metazoa; Chordata; Aves; Passeriformes; Passeridae. The transcript has 5 exons. The record is from RefSeq and is a predicted model, not a curated record.